UGAGUACGAGCUACUACGGCAGCGAAGUGGGUGAUGUCAAGCUUCCAAGAAAAGCCCUAUACCCGUUAAGGCAUGACGGCCUGUACCCGAAACCGACACAGGUGGGGUGGUGGAGAAUACCGUGGGGCGCGAGAUAACUCUCUCUAAGGAACUCGGCAAAAUGGCCCCGUAACUUCGGGAGAAGGGGUGCCACCGCAAGGUGGUCGCAGUGAAGAGGCCCAGGCGCCUGUUUACCAAAAACACAGGUCUCCGCUAAGUCGCAAGACGAUGUAUGGGGGCUGACGCCUGCCCAGUGCCGGAAGGUUAAGGAAGCUGGUCAGCGCAAGCGAAGCUAGCGACUGAAGCCCCGGUGAACGGCGGCCGUAACUAUAACGGUCCUAAGGUAGCGAAAUUCCUUGUCGGGUAAGUUCCGACCCGCACGAAAGGCGUAACGAUCUGGGCGCUGUCUCGGAGUGAGGCUCGGCGAAAUAGAAUUGUCUGUGAAGAUGCGGACUACGUGCACCCGGACAGAAAGACCCUAUGAAGCUUUACUGUAGCUUGGUAUUGUGCCCGGGCUCUGAAUGCGCAGGAUAGGUGGGAGGCUUUGAUCCAUUGCUUGUGGGUAAUGGUGAGCCACAGGUGAGAUACCACUCUUUCAGAGCUAGGGUUCUAACGGUCACCCGUUAUCCGGGGACCGGACAGUAUCAGGUGGGCAGUUUGACUGGGGCGGUCGCCUCCUAAAAGGUAACGGAGGCGCGCAAAGGUUCCCUCAGGCUGGUUGGGAAUCAGCCGACGAGUGUAAAGGCAGAAGGGAGCUUGACUGUGGGACCUACAAGUCGAACAGGGACGAAAGUCGGCCUUAGUGAUCCGACGGUUCUGAGUGGAAGGGCCGUCGCUCAACGGAUAAAAGUUACUCUAGGAUAACAGGCUGAUCUCCCCCAAGAGUCACAUCGACGGGGAGGUUUGGCACCUCGAUGUCGGCUCAUCGCAACCUGGGGCUGAAGUCGGUCCCAAGGGUUGGGCUGUUCGCCCAUUAAAGCGGUACGCGAGCUGGGUUCAGAACGUCGUGAGACAGUUCGGUCCAUAUCCGGUGCACGCGCAGGAACAUUGAGAGGAUUUCUCCCUAGUACGAGAGGACCGGGAGGAACGCACCUCUGGUGUACCAGUAUCGUACCAACGGUAAACGCUGGGUAGCCAUGUGCGGAGCGGAUAACCGCUGAAAGCAUCUAAGUGGGAAGCCCACCUCAAGAUGAGUGUUCCCAUGGCAUAAGCCAGUAAGGUCACGGGAAGAACACCCGUUGAUAGGCUCUACGUGGAAGCGUGGCAACUCGUGAAGCGGAGGAGUACUAAUAGACCGAGGGCUUGACC
RNAcentral lists this ribosomal RNA (1347 nucleotides) under metagenome. Its description in RNAcentral is "bacterial LSU rRNA". It matches the Rfam family "Bacterial large subunit ribosomal RNA", at positions 1564 to 2925 of the family's 2925-position model. The record is from RNAcentral.